This is a long non-coding RNA of Maniola jurtina (meadow brown), 482 nucleotides long. RefSeq lists it as uncharacterized. The record is from RefSeq and is a predicted model, not a curated record. The transcript has 3 exons. NCBI's taxonomy places the organism in Eukaryota, Metazoa, Arthropoda, Insecta, Lepidoptera, Nymphalidae.
AGACGGGUAAAAAUUAGAAAAACAGCAUUUAAUAUCCACAUCCAUCAUUAGUAGAAUCCUGAAAUUGCUAGAGAACCUGUUUUUUUGUGAUAACUACUUAUGCAAUUACUUAAACUGCAUCUUAAAUUCCAUUAAGUAGGUAUAAUUUGCACUCAAUCUUUGGUCUAACUUACCAAAAAUGUAAGUUAGACCAACAGUUAAGUUAGAAAUAAAGUUAGUUUUUAAGAACUUUAUCCCGACCUCCGACGAUAUCAAUUAAUAAUUAAUUUUUGAAUACGUAUCAAAAAAUACGAAAGCGGCAGGACUCAAACCUCCGUCUUCUAGGUCCGCGCCCGACGCUCUGACCGCUAAGCUACGGUAUCGCUUACAGCCAGUGACAAAAUUUGUGAUAUCUAUGUUCACUCAGUACUGAAACGAAUGUUAUAAUGCCAUCUAGUAGCGCCACUUUGCAGCUAUGGAAACUACUUUCAAAGGCCCAUAUU